AUUCGCGCAGCCUGAUCCAGCCAUGCCGCGUGCAGGAUGACGGUCCUAUGGAUUGUAAACUGCUUUUGUACAGGAAGAAACACUCCCUCGUGUCGGAGCUUGACGGUACUGUAAGAAUAAGGAUCGGCUAACUCCGUGCCAGCAGCCGCGGUAAUACAUUAAA
This 163-nucleotide ribosomal RNA is filed under the name uncultured Flavobacterium sp. RNAcentral describes it as "partial 16S ribosomal RNA". It matches the Rfam family "Bacterial small subunit ribosomal RNA", at positions 371 to 532 of the family's 1533-position model. Lineage: Bacteria; Pseudomonadati; Bacteroidota; Flavobacteriia; Flavobacteriales; Flavobacteriaceae. The record is from RNAcentral.